Molecule: non-coding RNA, 695 nt
Organism: Cinara cedri
Lineage: Eukaryota; Metazoa; Arthropoda; Insecta; Hemiptera; Aphididae
Source: the annotation of a GenBank genome assembly
AAUGAGUACCCAGUGUUUGCUAACAGAUUUGUCUUUUGAUUUGGCAAUAUAUAGUGUUAACGUAUUUUAAGAAUUACAUACAAAUUAAAGACGAUAAAUUUAAUUUAAGCCUUGGUUAAAUCACACAAUCACGGGUCCGUGAAAGCGUGGUGCGUGAUGCGCGAUUUUUCGUAAUAUUCUUUUUUUAUACUAUACACGUCACGUAAAUUACUAAGGCGUUGGACUUCUACAUCGGUAUUCUAGGAUCCAAGACCGUUUCUCCAGCUCCACAGUCAAUAAGAAUCAUACACUCAAGCGGGCAGUUUUUUAAAGAUUUUAUUUGCAAUCUUGAGCCGUUGCAUUAUUUUGGUGGACAUAAAUUCCGGAGUAGUAUUAUAGGAGAACUUACAUUUAUAAUUCAAUUAUGCGGUUGAAAGUCCCUGGAGGGGUUAAAGAACUAAAAAAUUCAAUUGGAUAAUGUACCGCCUCCUUUCUAUCAAUAAUUGUAUCAACUGAAUAGUAUAUUUUUGUCGGUGCAUUAAAUCUUAACAGUCAUUUAUUUUAUUGACUUGCUCGUUAGUUGAUGACAAUAUUGCUCUUUCCUGAAAUUAACUCAAGGUCUUUGUAGAUUUUAAAUUUUUACCAAUUUAGACCAUUUUUGAAUUUGUUCGGUUUGGCUACUUCUGUAUGCUGCAAUAAUACGAUCUAAAGGUUUU